RNAcentral lists this transfer RNA (69 nucleotides) under Silvanus bidentatus. RNAcentral describes it as "tRNA-Lys". Lineage: Eukaryota; Metazoa; Arthropoda; Insecta; Coleoptera; Silvanidae. The record is from RNAcentral.
CAUUAGAUGGCUGAAAGUAAGCAUUGGUCUCUUAAACCACAAAAUAGUACUUAACGAUUACUUCUAAUG